Molecule: ribosomal RNA, 326 nt
Filed under: uncultured eukaryote
Lineage: Eukaryota
Description: partial 18S ribosomal RNA
Rfam family: Eukaryotic small subunit ribosomal RNA
Source: RNAcentral
CCCUUAGAUGUUCUGGGCUGCACGCGCGCUACACUGAUGCACUCAACGAGUUUACGACCUUGCCCGAUAGGGUUGGGUAAUCUUUUUAAAAUGCAUCGUGAUGGGGAUAGAUUAUUGCAAUUAUUAAUCUUCAACGAGGAAUUCCUAGUAAGCGCGAGUCAUCAGCUCGUGCUGAUUACGUCCCUGCCCUUUGUACGCACCGCCCGUCGCUCCUACCGAUUGAGUGCUCAGGUGAAUAAUUCGGACUGCAGCAAUGUUUGGAUCCCGAACGUUGCAGCGGAAAGUUUAGUGAACCUUAUCACUUAGAGGAAGGAGAAGUCGUAACA